RNAcentral lists this ribosomal RNA (497 nucleotides) under uncultured bacterium. Its description in RNAcentral is "partial 16S ribosomal RNA". It matches the Rfam family "Bacterial small subunit ribosomal RNA", at positions 28 to 507 of the family's 1533-position model. The record is from RNAcentral.
GAUGAACGCUGGCGGCGUGCCUAAUACAUGCAAGUCGAGCGAACAGACGAGGAGCUUGCUCCACUGACGUUAGCGGCGGAAGGGUGAGUAACACGUGGAUAACCUACCUAUAAGACUGGGAUAAAUUCGGGAAACCGGAGCUAAUACCGGAUAAUAUAUUGAACCGCAUGGUUCAAUAGUGAAAGACGGUUUUGCUGUCAAUUAUAGAUGGGUCCGCGCCGCAUUAGCUAGUUGGUAAGGUAACGGCUUACCAAGGCGACGAUGCGUAGCCGACCUGAGAGGGUGAUCGGCCACACUGGAACUGAGACACGGUCCAGACUCCUACGGGAGGCAGCAGUAGGGAAUCUUCCGCAAUGGGCGAAAGCCUGACGGAGCAACGCCGCGUGAGGGAUGAAGGUCUUCGGAUCGUAAAACUCUGUUAUUAGGGAAGAACAAAUGUGUAAGUAACUAUGCACGUCUUGACGGUACCUAAUCAGAAAGCCACGGCUAACUACGUG